This is a long non-coding RNA of Gasterosteus aculeatus aculeatus (three-spined stickleback), 1066 nucleotides long. The record is from Ensembl. NCBI's taxonomy places the organism in Eukaryota, Metazoa, Chordata, Actinopteri, Perciformes, Gasterosteidae.
CUCACCCUGGUGCAUGAUGGUACACAGCUGUCCUCACAGAAGCCGAUGUAGGAAGUUACAGCCUCUGUGAACUCAUCCAGACUGUUUGCAGAGCUUUAGUUUCUGCCUGUAUGGAGGAAUCAGAUGGACCAUGACGUGGUCAGAGUGUCCCAGUGCAGCACGAGGGACCUUCAACUCUCAUAUAGAGAAGACUUCAAGGACUGCCUUUUUUCAUCUACGUAACAUAUCAAAAAUCAGGAACUUCCUAUCUCAAACAUUAGUUCAUGCAUUUGUCACUUCCAGACUGGACUACUGUAAUUCUUUGUUAUAAGGCUGCUCUUGUAAAUCUUGUAAAAUAACUAAGAAAAGGGAUCAUAUUACUCCUGCAUUAACUUCUCUGCACUCUUUAACAGACUUCUCUCCCUGUUAAAUCAAGAAUAGAUUUUAAGGUACUUCUCCUUACCUACAAGGCACUUGCUAGUGAGGCACCGUUGUAUCUUAAAGAGCUUGUAACACCUUAUUGCCCUACAAGGCAGCUGCACUCCAUAGAUGCUGGGUUACUUGUUGUUUCUAUGGUUUUAAAAAGUAGGCUGGGGGCCAGAGCCUUCAGUUUUCAAGCUCCUCUUUUGUGGAACCAACUUCCACUUUCAGUCCGGGGGCAGAUUCGGUCAGCUCUUUUAAAGUAAAACAUUCAUCUCUGAUUUUGCCUAUAGUUAGGGCUGGCUCAGGUUAGCUCGGACCAGCUCUUAGUUAAGCUACUAUAGGCUUAGACUGCCGGGGGACUUCUUAGGAGCUCCACUCCCAUGCUCUCGUUCUACAGUAUUCACGUUUUAUUAAUGCACAUGACUAAUUCAGCUUCUUUCCGGGAGUUUUUUGUGCUUUCUCCCCUAGCAGGUCUCCGUAGAUUGUAGUUCCUUCUGGACUCUGGUCCUGACACCUGCCGUGGCCCUGCUGACACCUGCUGACACCUGCUGCUGCCAUCAUUAUUAUUUUAGAUAUUAAUCAUAUUACUGUAAUCAUAAACCAACAUUACCCUAUCCUUCUUCUUUGUGCUUUCCCUCCCCACAGGCUUCUGUGGAUGGUGGUU